GGGAAAACAGUAACAAGGGCUGGGACAAUUUUGAGAAAUGCAUUAUGAGAGAACAGUAAUAAAAGAUAUUCUUUGACUGCGUGAUUUGAUUAGCUACUUAAAAAGAGAUUCAAGAAGGCAUAAAUUUGCAGACCUUUAUAUGAUACUGCAGUAGUAGCAACAAACAAAAACUAAAGAUGAAUAAUACACUAAUUUCCUAUCACUUAUAAAUCAAUCUUUGUUCCUGUGCUCUUUGAAAGCAUUAUGACUUUAGUAACUGAAACUCUAACACAAUAAACUAAUUCUCUAGGCUUUUUGAUCAUAGUAACUGGUGGCUGGUUCCUGUGAGUGACCUAAGUGUGUCUGUAGGCCACUAUGGAUAAGAGUUGGCCAUAUACUAAAAUCUAGAGUCUUUCCAUUAACUGGUAUACAGGCAGGCUCAAUUACGAAAGGUGUGGGUGGUUGCCUCAUUUAUCAGGAUGAAUUGUUAUGAAUAUAAAUUUGAAGAGAAAAUCGAAACAUUAAUUGUUUAUUUUGGAGAAAUGUUAAAAUAAAAUAAAACAUUCCCAGAUUCUACUGAUGUUGUAAUUAAAAAGUGUUCGUUAAGUAACACAAAAUCA
Molecule: long non-coding RNA, 599 nt
Filed under: Bos taurus (domestic cattle)
Lineage: Eukaryota; Metazoa; Chordata; Mammalia; Artiodactyla; Bovidae
Description: long non-coding RNA NONBTAT019615
Source: RNAcentral